This 347-nucleotide ribosomal RNA is filed under the name uncultured Bacillota bacterium. RNAcentral describes it as "bacterial SSU rRNA". It matches the Rfam family "Bacterial small subunit ribosomal RNA", at positions 28 to 351 of the family's 1533-position model. Lineage: Bacteria; Bacillati; Bacillota. The record is from RNAcentral.
GACGAACGCUGGCGGCGUGCCUAACACAUGCAAGUCGAGCGAUGAUGCGCCUCCUUCGGGAGGCGGAGAUUAGCGGCGGACGGGUGAGUAACACGUGGGUAACCUGCCUCAAAGAGGGGAAUAGCCUUCCGAAAGGAAGAUUAAUACCGCAUAAUAUGUUUUGGUCGCAUGACUGAGACAUCAAAGGAGUCUUCUUCGUGAGAAGAAGCAUCCGCUUUGAGAUGGACCCGCGGCGCAUUAGCUAGUUGGUGAGGUAACGGCUCACCAAGGCGACGAUGCGUAGCCGACCUGAGAGGGUGAUCGGCCACAUUGGAACUGAGACACGGUCCAGACUCCUACGGGUGCUG